RNAcentral lists this ribosomal RNA (450 nucleotides) under uncultured bacterium. RNAcentral's name for it is "partial 16S ribosomal RNA". It matches the Rfam family "Bacterial small subunit ribosomal RNA", at positions 354 to 796 of the family's 1533-position model. The record is from RNAcentral.
GUGGGGAAUAUUGGACAAUGGGCGAAAGCCUGAUCCAGCCAUGCCGCGUGUGUGAAGAAGGUCUUCGGAUUGUAAAGCACUUUAAGUUGGGAGGAAGGGCAGUAAGUUAAUACCUUGCUGUUUUGACGUUACCGACAGAAUAAGCACCGGCUAACUUCGUGCCAGCAGCCGCGGUAAUACGAAGGGUGCAAGCGUUAAUCGGAAUUACUGGGCGUAAAGCGCGCGUAGGUGGUUUUGUAAGUUGGAGGUGAAAUCCCCGGGCUCAACCUGGGAACUGCCUCCAAAACUGCAUGACUAGAGUACGGUAGAGGGUAGUGGAAUUUCCUGUGUAGCGGUGAAAUGCGUAGAUAUAGGAAGGAACACCAGUGGCAAAGGCGACUACCUGGACUGAUACUGACACUGAGGUGCGAAAGCGUGGGGAGCAAACAGGAUUAGAAACCCCGGUAGUCC